This 552-nucleotide small RNA is filed under the name Pan troglodytes (chimpanzee). Its description in RNAcentral is "processed transcript". The record is from RNAcentral. Lineage: Eukaryota; Metazoa; Chordata; Mammalia; Primates; Hominidae.
CUGGGUGAGCGCGCCGGGCCUGGACUUGGGCCUUUCUAGAACCCGCAAAUGGUGAAAAGCGUUCCACAAACGUUAAAUAAGCAGUAUGGAGGAGGGGACAGUACUUGUGCCAGGCCAGGGCGGGGGCAGCGGGCGGAACAGCACUGUUCCUUCUCUCCAGUUCACCUUACAGGUGGAUCAAUCUUCCUGUCCUACAACUGACCAAGGAUCCCCUAAAGACCCCUGGAAGGCUGGACCAUGGCACAAGAACUGCCUUCAUCCAUCACCGGGAGCAAGUGUGGAAGAGAUGCAUCAACAUUUGGCGUGAUGUGGGCCUUUUUGGGGUGCUAAAUGAAAUUGCAAACUCAGAAGAAGAGGUGUUUGAGUGGGUGAAGACGGCAUCCGGCUGGGCCCUGGCACUCUGUCGAUGGGCCUCUUCCCUCCAUGGGUCCCUGUUCCCCCAUCUCUCUCUCAGGAGCGAAGAUCUGAUCGCUGAAUUUGCCCAAGUCACAAAUUGGUCCAGCUGCUGCUUGCGUGUCUUUGCAUGGCACCCCCACACCAACAAGUUUGCAG